GCUUGUCUCAAAGAUUAAGCCAUGCAUGUCUAAGUAUAAGCAAUUUGUACUGUGAAACUGCGAAUGGCUCAUUAAAUCAGUUAUAGUUUAUUUGAUAGUACCUUACUACUUGGAUAACCGUGGUAAUUCUAGAGCUAAUACAUGCAUUAAACCCCGACUUCUGGAAGGGGUGUAUUUAUUAGAUGGAAACCAAUGCGGGGCAACCCGGAAUAUGGUGAAUCAUAAUAACUGUCGUAUCGAGCAAUCGAAGCGCCAUACAAGUUUCUGCCCUAUCAGCUUUGGAUGGUAGGGUAUUGGCCUACCAUGGCUUUAACGGGUAACGGAGAAUUAGGGUUCGAUUCCGGAGAGGGAGCCUGAGAAAUGGCUACCACAUCCAAGGAAGGCAGCAGG
Molecule: ribosomal RNA, 390 nt
Filed under: uncultured Chrysophyceae
Lineage: Eukaryota; Chrysophyceae
Description: partial small subunit ribosomal RNA
Rfam family: Eukaryotic small subunit ribosomal RNA
Source: RNAcentral